AUUGAACGCUGGCGGCAGGCCUAACACAUGCAAGUCGAGCGGAUGAAGGGAGCUUGCUCCUGGAUUCAGCGGCGGACGGGUGAGUAAUGCCUAGGAAUCUGCCUGGUAGUGGGGGAUAACGUCCGGAAACGGGCGCUAAUACCGCAUACGUCCUGAGGGAGAAAGUGGGGGAUCUUCGGACCUCACGCUAUCAGAUGAGCCUAGGUCGGAUUAGCUAGUUGGUGGGGUAAAGGCCUACCAAGGCGACGAUCCGUAACUGGUCUGAGAGGAUGAUCAGUCAAACUGGAACUGAGACAGGGUCCAGAACCCUAGGGGAGGAAGCAGGGGGGAAUAGUGGAAAAGGGGCGAAAGCCUGAUCAAGCCAUGCCGCGUGGGUGAAGAAGGUAUUAGGUUUGAAAAGAAUUUUAGGUGGGGAAGAAGGGAAGAAAGUUAAUACCUGGCUGUUUUGACGGUACAAAAAGAAUAAGAACGGGCUAACUUCGGG
Molecule: ribosomal RNA, 484 nt
Filed under: uncultured bacterium
Lineage: Bacteria
Description: partial 16S ribosomal RNA
Rfam family: Bacterial small subunit ribosomal RNA
Source: RNAcentral